CCAGACUCCUACGGGAGGCAGCAGUGAGGAAUAUUGGUCAAUGGGCUUACGCCUGAACCAGCCAAGUCGCGUGAGGGAAGACUGCCCUAUGGGUUGUAAACCUCUUUUGUCAGGGAGCAAUUGGCGCUACGUGUAGCGUUAUCGAGAGUACCUGAAGAAAAAGCAUCGGCUAACUCCGUGCCAGCAGCCGCGGUAAUACGGAGGAUGCGAGCGUUAUCCGGAUUUAUUGGGUUUAAAGGGUGCGUAGGCGGCCCGGAAGGUCAGCGGAAAAAGCCGGGGGCUCACCCCCGGCGAGCCGUUGAAACUGUCGGACUAGAGACGGCGAGAAGUACGCGGAAUGCGCGGUGUAGCGGUGAAAUGCAUAGAUAUCACGCAGAACUCCGAUUGCGAAGGCAGCAUACCGGCGCUCAACUGACGCUCAUGCACGAAAGUGUGGGUAUCGAACAGGAUUAGAUACCCCAGUA
Molecule: ribosomal RNA, 464 nt
Filed under: uncultured bacterium
Lineage: Bacteria
Description: bacterial SSU rRNA
Rfam family: Bacterial small subunit ribosomal RNA
Source: RNAcentral